Eucalyptus grandis is the source of this 267-nucleotide long non-coding RNA. RefSeq lists it as uncharacterized. The transcript is spliced from 3 exons. NCBI's taxonomy places the organism in Eukaryota, Viridiplantae, Streptophyta, Magnoliopsida, Myrtales, Myrtaceae. The record is from RefSeq and is a predicted model, not a curated record.
CUAUCAUGGCCAUUGCACUUACAAAUGGAGGGGGCAAGCCUCCAGAUUGGCAAGAUUUCAUAGGCAUUGUCACUCUUCUGCUUAUAAACUCCACUGUUAGCUUUAUCGAGGAGAACAAUGCUGGUAACGCUACGGUUUGAAGAGCUCGCUAAAUCGAUUCUAACCACUGAAGUCGAGGAAACAAAGUGAUAAUCAUAAUAUAGAAGAAGCCAAGAAAUUGACCCAUUAACUUUAUGCUUCAGUUUCUGGGCAUCCCUUAACCGAGUC